Molecule: ribosomal RNA, 330 nt
Filed under: uncultured eukaryote
Lineage: Eukaryota
Description: bacterial SSU rRNA
Rfam family: Eukaryotic small subunit ribosomal RNA
Source: RNAcentral
CAAUAGCGUAUAUUAAAGUUGUUGCGGUUAAAAAGCUCGUAGUUGGAGUUCUGCCAGGUGACGCUCGUCCGCCCAAGUGGUGUGUACAGGGCGUGCAUCUGGCCCUUUCAAGGGGAACGUGUCUGCUCUUUAUUGAGUGGUGCGACGAUACCUUUGCAUGACUUUUACUUUGAGGAAAUCAGAGUGUUCCAAGCAGGCUCUCGUCGUGUAUAGCUCAGCAUGGAAUAAUAGCAUUGGACUUCGUUUCUAAGCUGUUGGUUGCAAGAAGCGAGGUAAUGAGUGAAGAGGGAUUAGUUGGGGGCAUUCGUAUUUAACUGUCAGAGGUGAAAU